RNAcentral lists this long non-coding RNA (1464 nucleotides) under Canis lupus familiaris (dog). Its description in RNAcentral is "lncRNA (ENSCAFG00040004428.1)". The record is from RNAcentral. Lineage: Eukaryota; Metazoa; Chordata; Mammalia; Carnivora; Canidae.
CAAACAUCAAUGUACAGUAAAACACUCAACUGACAUUCUAGGCAGUCUUUUGAUGUCAUCCUAGGUUGUCAUUGAAGUUUUAGCUAUAAAAUAAUUCAAAGUUGAAGAUUGCUGUCAUCUAUGUGACAUCUAUGUGACAUUAGGUUCAUCCUAAUGGUCUCACUUCUUCCCUCUUGCUUUUAAUGGAUCCUAAUGUUUUUGUAAAGAUGUGGAAACAUGAACAAAGUCAAGACAUGAGCAAGAUGUAUAUUGUGCCUGUGUAUCACAACCAUACACAAGAUACUUUCCUGCUCCUUUCUUGUAGCCAUUCCUGAAUAUUCUCUUUUGGGUCCUCUUAGAUCAGAACAGAUGACUGGCGUGUGUACAGAGGAGAGAAGGGUCCUGUAGCAGAAGACUGGGCAGUAGGAAGCUUAACAUGGUUCACCGUGAGAAAUGUCAACACCAGGAAAAUGGAUUGAAACUUACAUCUGUAAUCAAUAUGGCCUGAUAGCAGAUGCUCAGGACCUAUGCAAUCCUUCCAAGGAGAUCUAUGGCUUAAAGUUCACUAUUGUCUCAACUCAUUAAAGUAUUAUAUGUAUGAUUAAAAUACACCUCAGAUUUUAUUUUUCUUUCUUUUGUCUUUUUUUUUUGGGUCUAGGAUAUUAAAUAAUCUUCAAUAAGAAGUGACACAAAUUUUAUUCAUCCUCAAAAUAAAAUAAGAAAUAAUCUCUAAGAGUGGUUCUGUUGGUUAAGCGUCUGCCUUUGGCUCAGGUCAUGAUCCCAGGGUUCUGGGAUAGAGCUCCAUGUCAGGCUUUCUGCUCAGCAAAGAGCCGGUUUCUCCCUCUCCAUCUGCCUGCCACUCCCCCAGCUUGUGCUCUCUCUCCUUCUCUCUCUGUCAACUAAAUAAAUAAAAUAUUUUUUUAAAAAUACUAUUUAAAAAUACAUUUAAAGACUUAGACGUUAUAAAGCAUUUUAUUUGUACUAUUCACAUGAGAAUGUAUUAAAAUAUUUCAAAAAAUUACUUGCACUCAAUGCAGUUAAACUUUUCUUAAUUAAAACUUAACUUUUAAGAGCAAUUUUAGGUUCACAGCAAAAUUGAGGGCAAGGUGCAAAGAUAUCCCGUAUACUUUCUGUCUUCACACAUGCAUAGCCCCUCCCGUUACCAACAUCCCCCACCAGCGUACAUUUGCUGCAACUGAUGAAUGUACACUGACACAUCAUCAUCACCUAAAGUCCACGGUUUAAAUUACAGUUCACUUUUGGUGUUGCACUUUCCAUGUUUUUUUUUUUUUUAAGAUUUUAUUUAUUUAUUCAAGAGAGACAGAGAGAGAGAGAGAGAAAGAGAGAGACAGAGACAGAGAUACAGGCAGAGGGAGAAGCAGGCUCCAUGCAGGGAGCCUGACAUGAGACUUGAUCCUGGUUCUCCAGGAUCAGGCCCUGGGCUGAAGGUGGUGCUAAACUGCUGAGCUCCCCCUCCGGGCUGUC